Molecule: long non-coding RNA, 860 nt
Organism: Peromyscus eremicus (cactus mouse)
Lineage: Eukaryota; Metazoa; Chordata; Mammalia; Rodentia; Cricetidae
Exons: 2
Source: RefSeq, a predicted model, not a curated record
UCUUUGUCAACCGGAGGACUUGAGGCUUACAGGAAUGGGAGAAGCUUCUGCUAACUGCCAGGGCACAGGAACACAAAGCCUUCGUUCGGUUGAGGUUGGGGAAUGACUGCCCUUAGAAACAGAACACUAGACUACCAAGUGUGUGCGGUACUGACGCAAAGCCAACGCUCAGGUGCCCAUCGCCCUGCUCAGGGCCACUGGUACCGGAUGGCCAGAACCUAAACCACGCUUUGGUCCCGAGGCGGUCCUCCGGUUAAAGGAAGCCGGAUGUGGCUGACUGCCGAAAAGUCCACGGCAGGAAGGAGCCACAGACCCACCUUGGGGGCCUCAGGACUGCGCCUGCGUUCUCCGCGGUCGUGGGCGCCACGUCCCCAGCCCCGCCCGCACGAGCUUCGCGGGGAACCCCGGUGACGUCACCACCCGCUGCUGCGCCCUCCUUCGCGCGCUCUCCAGAAAGGACGCGAAGGUGGUGACGUGUCCGGAGCGCCAGCGCGGCUGCGCACAAGGAGGCGCGUGAUUAAGUUGCGGCGCCGCCUGGCGGAAGGACCGCGGCGGUGUGGCCGGGGACGAUGCGUGUCGGCAGCGCGGUGGCGUCAUCCCGCGGGGCCGGAGGACCGCGUGCUGCGCCGACCUCCCCUGGGCCAGUGUGGGCGGAAGCGUGGCUUCAUGCCCUGAGUUACUUGGUCUGCUGAACAGCUUGGCCGCGUCGCGCUCCGAGUCAUGAGAAGUUUGAGGACCGGGAAACAUGAAGAUAGGAGACUGUGUACUUUGUCUUCUACUGAAAACGUGUCUGAGGAAGGAACAGAAAGUACCACCUCUGGCAAUAUGAGCGGUUCCCCAUGAUACUGUUUCCCGAGAAA